AGCCAGCCGACCCCACGACCCUUAUAAUUACUGCUGUCCCCAUGUCGUUCGUAUGCUAAAGCUUGUCACCGUCUCCCGUCCCACCACAACAGGGUCCUCACUGCCCCUCACAUGGCUUCCAGUUCCAGAAUGCCACUCUGUGGUGUGGCUCUUAGCACGACUCUGUCGCCAACGGCCUUGGCCUGGAGUUCCCUCAUCAGGGGAACCUGAGGCAAGGACGUGUGUGUGCAGGCAGUUUAUUUUAGAGGUGAUCCCAGGGAGCAGAAACAGGGGACCGACACAACUGAAAAAAGCCAACAUCACAGAGCAUCUUUAGGUCAGUGUCGCGGGUGACUGGGACUCAGUGCCUCCAGGCCCCUCUGAACGGUGUACAGAAGGACCCUUGGGCUUGUCAGCCAGAUGACUGAUUGACGGAUCACCCCUCCACCGGCUCCCACGCCCCACGGGUGAGAGGUUGUUGGCCCAGUGGAAGCUAACUGCCCCCAGCACGUCCCCAUGCUGAGCACGCUCCUGCCGGCAGUCCGUGUUGGGCACUGUACAAGCCCCAGGGCAGAAAAAGAAAAAGCCUUGUGCUCGCGUGUGGCAAGAUGCCGGCCGCGCAAAGUGAGUUGAAGCCCGCGUAGAACUGUUUGGCCCAGCACGGCUGGAAACAGAGGUGCCGCUGAGCGCCAGGGAGGCUGUGGGUACGCUCUCGAGCCAGACUGGGUUCUAAUCCUUUCUCGGUGUGUCAUUUUCCUCCACUUACAAAAGGGAGCGUUCUAAAAGGAAAACACGCUUUACCGGGUUGUCACGAGGCAAAUGAGAAAGCCCACAGCACCUGGCACAUAAUAAUCCCUCAAUGAAGAGUGACUUCUAUUAUCCCCAUUUUCCGGUUGAAGACACUGAGAUGUAAUUUUGAAGGGAUGAGAGAGGGGAACAAGUGGGGGAGGGAGACUUCAUUUCGGCUCCACUCACACCUCCAGAGAAGGCUCGGUCGGCAGCUCAGAGAAAAGCCUGGUAUUUCUGGGAGAGACCCUCUCCCGCUUCGCCCUUCCACGCCCACUUCCCCUACCGCGUGAGGGGCCUCAGGAGCGUUUUCUGCCCCUAAAUGAGUAGGCACGCUUCCUCUGUCGCGGGGAAAGGGUCUGUAGGUGCCUUGUGAUGUCACAGCUGGUUGCUAUGGAGAUCAGGUUGCUGUAAAUGUCAGUCCGGGUCCACCAGGAGCACAGUGAUCAACAUCCCAGCCUGGUGCAGGGAGAGAGGAAAAUGAGGCACCCUGGGGGCUCUCCCAAGUGCCUCUCCCCGCGCCCCAAACACGCGGACGCACAACAGCGCAGCCAGCAGGCCCCGCGAACGUCCCCUGGCCCGCCCCACGCGUGGCAAUAUGUGUUUGGGGAGAAACAACCUUGGCAGCCGAGAGCAGGGUGACACAUGGUCCGCAUCAGUCACUGUCCCCUCCCACUCCUUCUGGAAGAAAGGUGCUGCUCAGCAGGUGGCAGUGGCAUCCGGAGCGUCCCCAUGGCAACACUGACUGAGGUCAGACCUCAUCACUGCGCUGACCUCACUCGGGGGGCCACUGGACCCGGGCUGGGCUGUCGCUGCCACGGGGGGAAAUGGAAAAGCUGGGAAGAGGUUUUCCAGAAAAACGAAUCUGCCCUCUCAGGGUCAUGGCUCCUCCCGACAAGGAACCUGACCUUUCCGGACUCUGUGUUCACCGCCAUUGCUCGGAAUGAGUAAGUUAACAACGCGAAGCUCCCAGCGCAGUGCCUGACCAGGGUAGGAAAAAGGAGAUAUGGAGGGCCCUUCCCCCAGCUCAAUGCCUAGGGACCACAGCUGGCCCUGAGUCAGCAGAGAUCGUGCAGAAGAAUCCCCGUGUGCCCAGAUGGACACUUAUGCGUCUGUGUGGCUAUCCUCAGUAGAAAAUCAGAGGUGCAAAAAUGUU
Long non-coding RNA from Leopardus geoffroyi (Geoffroy's cat), 1921 nucleotides. RefSeq lists it as uncharacterized. The transcript has 2 exons. The record is from RefSeq and is a predicted model, not a curated record. NCBI's taxonomy places the organism in Eukaryota, Metazoa, Chordata, Mammalia, Carnivora, Felidae.